RNAcentral lists this ribosomal RNA (395 nucleotides) under uncultured bacterium. RNAcentral's name for it is "bacterial SSU rRNA". It matches the Rfam family "Bacterial small subunit ribosomal RNA", at positions 505 to 898 of the family's 1533-position model. The record is from RNAcentral.
GUGUCAGCAGCCGCGGUAAAACGUAGGAGCCUAGCGUUAUCCGAAUUUACUGGGCGUAAAGCGCGUGCAGGCGGCUUUGUAAGUUGGCUGUGAAAUCUCCUGGCUCAACUGGGAGGGGACGGUCAAGACUGCGAAGCUGGAGGACGGUAGAGGGAGGUGGAAUUCCCGGUGUAGUGGUGAAAUGCGUAGAGAUCGGGAGGAACACCAGUGGCGAAAGCGGCCUCCUGGGCCGUACCUGACGCUCAGACGCGAAAGCUAGGGGAGCGAACGGGAUUAGAAACCCCGGUAGUCCUAGCCGUAAACGAUGUAGACUUGGCGCUGGUGGGGUAAAAGCCAUCUGUGCCGCAGCCAACGCGGUAAGUCUACCGCCUGGGGACUACGGCCGCAAGGUUAAA